GGAGCAAGUAGUGUUUCAUGAUCCUCUCUUCCCAUUCAAUGGGUUGUUCUUCAUGGCAUGUUGGGGUACCACUGUAAGGUCCCAUGAAGAAGAAAGCGAAAUGAGAAAACUUGGUUUCUUGCAAAAUCUUAGAUCUUGAAACCCUAUGUGUUAUUAUAUAUGAUGCAAGUUGCAAAGAAGUUAGUUAUAUCUAAUCUUGUUCAAUCAAAAUUAUUUUGAUUUAAAAUCAUAAAAAU
RNAcentral lists this long non-coding RNA (236 nucleotides) under Elaeis guineensis (African oil palm). RNAcentral describes it as "long non-coding RNA (EGUI_LNC075264)". The record is from RNAcentral. Lineage: Eukaryota; Viridiplantae; Streptophyta; Magnoliopsida; Arecales; Arecaceae.